GGUCAGGAUGAACGCUGGCGGCGUGCCUAACACAUGCAAGUCGAGCGAGAAACCUUGAUGACACUCGGUGAUUCAAAGGCGGAAAGCGGCGGACGGGUGAGUAACGCGUAGGCAACCUGCCCCUUGCAGAGGGAUAGCCUCGGGAAACCGGGAUUAAAACCUCAUAAUGCUGAUCCUACACAUGUUUGAUCAGCCAAAGAUUUAUCGGCAAGGGAUGGGCCUGCGUCUGAUUAGGCUGGUUGGUGGGGUAACGGCCUACCAAGGCAAUGAUCAGUAGCCGACCUGAGAGGGUGAUCGGCCACAUUGGAACUGAGACACGGUCCAAACUCCUACGGGAGGCAGCAGUGGGGAAUAUUGCACAAUGGGCGAAAGCCUGAUGCCAGCAACGCCGCGUGAGCGAUGAAGGCGGAUUCGUCGUAAAGCUCUGUCCUUGGGGAAGAAGAACUGACGGUACCCUUGGAGGAGGCCCCGGCUAAAUACGUGCCAGCAGCCGC
This 494-nucleotide ribosomal RNA is filed under the name uncultured bacterium. RNAcentral describes it as "bacterial SSU rRNA". It matches the Rfam family "Bacterial small subunit ribosomal RNA", at positions 22 to 518 of the family's 1533-position model. The record is from RNAcentral.